Molecule: long non-coding RNA, 357 nt
Organism: Lemur catta (Ring-tailed lemur)
Lineage: Eukaryota; Metazoa; Chordata; Mammalia; Primates; Lemuridae
Exons: 3
Source: RefSeq, a predicted model, not a curated record
CUCUGGACGGGCACAGCAAGGCCUCUUCAGAGCCAGGAACAGGAAGCAGUAAAUGCCCGACCGAGGACAAGCUGAGGGAGGGGUGGACAGUCUAGAUUUGGUGAUUUCAUUGCUGUGCAAACAUUACAGAGUUACUUACACAAACCCAGAUGGUGCAGCCUACUCCAAACCUAGGCUACAUGGACAGCUGAUUGCUCCCGGGCUGCAGAGCUGCACAGCAUGUGACUGUACUGAACACUGUAGGCAACUGUAACACAAUGACACAAACACACAGUAGGCCUACACAGGGUCAGGAUCAUCGAUAUCACUGCCGUCCACUCCACACCUCGUCCCUCCGGAAGGUCUUCAGGGCCGACA